This 9046-nucleotide long non-coding RNA is filed under the name Xyrichtys novacula (pearly razorfish). The record is from RNAcentral. Lineage: Eukaryota; Metazoa; Chordata; Actinopteri; Labriformes; Labridae.
UCCACAUAUUUAAAAGUCUUAUAACUUUUUAUUUUUGUCCUCACUGGCCUCCAAGUUUUCUAGGAUGAUGCAAUGUCCAGCCAUCAACACAUUUGUGAAGGAAUUUUUACUCCCCAAAAGAGCGCCCCCCCAUGGCAGGAGAAAAAAAGUCAAUUUUUUCUUGUCCCAUAAGGUGAUAAUACACAUUGUUGACUGUCAUACCUGUACGCUUUGUCAUAUUGACACAAAAUUUGACAUACACAUGUAUCUCAAUAAGAUCUACGAAAAAGUCAAUGCGCGCGUAUCUGUAAAAUGUACGGUUAAAGGGCUAUUUUACAUUUUUUGCCGAUUAGCACACAUUGGAAUGUGGCUAACUCCUCCUAAGGCUUUCGUCCCACUGACACCAAAUUUGCUCAGGCCAAUCUACACCCCAUGGCCAUUCAAAGUUGUAAAAAUCAUGACGCUGCACCCCACGGUUUAGGUUCUAGGGGGCGCCAAAGAUAACCCUAAAAUCCACAUAUUUAAAAGUCUUAUAACUUUUUAUUGUUGUCCCCACUGGCCUCCAAGUUUUCUAGGAUGAUGCAAUGUCCAGCCAUCAACACAUUUGUGAAGGAAUUUUUACUCGCCAAAAGAGCGCCCCCCCAUGGCAGGAGAAAAAAGUCCAUUUUUUCUUGUCCACUAAGGUGAAAAUACACAUUGUUGAGUGCUACACCUGUACGCUUUGUCAUAUUGACACAAGAUUUGACAAUCAAGUGUAUCUCAAUAAGAUCUACGAAAAAGUCAAUGUGCACGUAUCUGUAAAAUGUACGGUUAAAGGGCUAUUUCGCAUUUUUCGCCGAUUAGCACACAUUGGAAUGUGGCUAACUCCUCCUAAAGCUUUCGUCCCACUGACACCACAUUUGCUCAGGCAAAUCUACACCCCAUGGCCAUUCAAAGUUGUACAAAUCAUGACGCUGCACCCCACGGUUUACGUUCUAGGGGGCGCCAAAGAGGACCCAAAUAUCCACAUUUUUAAAAGUCCUAUAACUUUUUAUUUUUGUCUUCACUGGCCUCCAAGUUUUCUAGGAUGAUGCAAUGUCCAGCCAUCAACACAUUUGUGAAAGAAUUUUUUCUCCCCAAAAGAGCGCCCCCCCCCCCCCCCAUGGCAGGAGAAAAAGUCAAGUUCUUCCUGCCCAUCGCUCAAUGGCUCAAACGCAUCGCUCUCUCGGCAAAACCGAAAGGAGGAGCAACUUGCCAUUUGGAUAUAUCGAAGCUGUGUUUGUGCCCUCACUCAUGGUCCAGACUUUUUUCAAAAAGGACAUGGAGUUCGUCUGCAGCGAGCAUUUUGGUAGAAACCGCGCCUCCCAUUCAUUAUAAUGGUAAAUGACCACAGACAAGUGCGCACACCAUCUUUGGACCUUGAGUGUGACGCGAUCGGGAGGGGUAGGCGGUCACGCUGGGGGCGGCGCGACACGGCUCGGGCCCGCCAGUGCCCCACCGGGGCCCUAGUUAGGGCCCGAGCGUAGCUGCUAAGCAGCUGCGAGAGCCCUAUUAUUCCCCAAGUGGUUUUUCUUUGUUUCUUUCUUUCUUUCUUUCUUUCUUUCUUCUUUUUCCUCCCCUUUGAACUGGAAAAUGGCCCACUUCCCACUGGCGAAAACUCAUGAAAUUUGGCAGGACGACCGGGCCUGGUGAAAAAUUUGAUAUUCUGAAGUCGCCCAAACAAUAAAAUGCAAAAUGGCUCCAUAGCGCCCCCUAAGGUGGAAAUUCACACUAUUGAUUGUCACGCCUGUACGCUUUGUCAUAUUGACACAAAAAUUGACACACAUAUGUAUCUCAAUAAGAUCUACAAAAAAGUCAGUGCGGCCGUAUCUGUCAAAAUUACGGUUAAAGGGUUAUUUCGCAUUUUUUGCCGAUCCGCACACAUUGGAAUUUCGCUAACUCCUCCGAAGGCUUUCGUUCCACCGGCACCACAUUUGCUCAGGCCAAUCUACACCCCGUGGCCAUUAAAAGUUAUCAAAAUCAUGACGCUGCACCCCACGGUUUAGGUUCUAGGGGGCGCCAAAGAUAACACUAAAAUCCACAUAUUUAAAAGUCUUAUAACUUUUUAUUUUUGUCCUCACUGGCCUCCAAGUUUUCUAGGAUGAUGCAAUGUCCAGCCAUCAACACAUUUGUGAAGGAAUUUUUACUCCCCAAAAGAGCGCCCCCCCAUGGCAGGAGAAAAAAGUCCAUUUUUUCUUGUCCCCUAAGGUGAAAAUACACAUUGUUGAGUGUCACGUCUAUACGCUUUGUCAAAAUGACACAAAAAUUGACACACACAUGUAUCUCAAUAAGAUCUACGAAAAAGUCAAUGCGUGCAUAUCUGUCAAAUGUAUGUACGGUUAAAGGGUUAUUCCGCAUUUUUUGCCGAUCCGCACACAUUGGAAUGUGGCUAACUCCUCCUAAGGCUUUCGUUCCACCGGCACCACAUUUGCUCAGGCCAAUCUACACCCCAUGGCCAUUAAAAGUUAUUCAAAUCAUGACGCUGCACCCCACGGUUUAGGUUCUAGGGGGCGCCAAAGAUAACCCUAAAAUCCACAUAUUUAAAAGUCUUAUAACUUUUUAUUUUUGUCCUCACUGGCCUCCAAGUUUUCUAGGAUGAUGCAAUGUCCAGCCAUCAACACAUUUGUGAAGGAAUUUUUACUCCCCAAAAGAGCGCCCCCCAUGGCAGGAGAAAAAAGUCCAUUUUUUCUUGUCCCCUAAGGUGAAAAUACAUAUUGUUGAGAUUCACGCCUAUACGCUUUGUCAUAUUGACACAAAAUUUGACAAUCACGUGCCUUGCCUGGUAUCAUUUUUUUCAGCACAACCUCACCUGUGCGAAUUUACAGUUAUUUUAUCAUGUUGACAUACUGAAUUUACACAAUGGACCCAAAUUCACACACAAAACAUAAAAUCCGAGUGGAAAAAAGUAACAUUUUUACUGUGAAAACCACAAAUAUGUGUGAUGAACUGUUUUUAAAACUUAAACUUCAAAUAAAAAUUGUAAACUUCAAAACAUAUGCAAAUUUUUAACAAAGAACAUAGUGAUUUACCUCUAUUUACAUCAAAAUGCAGGCAAUGGCCCAGGCGUUCUUUGUAAAAUUAUUUACAAAACACUGUAUAGUCUCACAAAUGUCACUUUUUAUUUAUGCCACUACAAAAAAACAUGAUGUAAAUGAUGCAUGAUGUAAAACAUGAUGUAAAAAACUUGUGUAGAUCCUCCUCUAUGUCAGUCCAUGUGUAAUUUUUCCAUAAUUCUUUGUUUUUUGCAGCAUUUUUGUUAGUGUAACUGCAGAUUGUGCUGACAGUGUCUAUGGCAAAAAAAAAAAAAAAAAAAAAACUGAAAAUGCCUCAACAUGAACCCCUGGUGGUCUCUGAGGGUGAAACCUGCUAACUGCUGCAGCUCUGUCAGCUUCAGUCUCAUGCAGAGCUCGGAGCGCAUGUGUGGCUCUGCACCCUUAGCAGCGUUGCUAACUCCUCAGUAAGGAAAGCCUGCUUCAUGUCAGAGUCUCUAAACUCCAGAAGAAGUCGAUAAAAGUCACUUUCUUUCUAAAAAAAAGUCGUUAGGGGGUCUGAAAAGUCAUUGAAUCUAACAACAAAGUCGCUAGGUUUGCAACUACGUGUCCCAGACUGCAUCCCUGCUGAGAGUCCCUCCCUCCCUUCUCAUAUUGCAGGAAGAACGUAAGCGCCCGCCCCUCAACGGAGUCAACGAGGCUCCGUCUUGCAGCUACAUCCGGUUGAAUAUGUCAUGUGACUUGAACGCACACACACACACACACACACACACACACACACACACACAGACACACACACACACGCACACACACACACUCAGAGUCUGGUUUUUAGCACCUGCAAAAACAUGCUAUUUACAUAUUUGACAAGAAUGCAGAGGCUCCUUUUGCCCCUGAAAAAAAUCAAAUUUCAAACACAACUUGACUGGUCAUUUCUCCAAAAGACAACCAUGAAGCUCCAUCCAAACCUGAAGCAGGCAGUUGGUGCAUGUGUACAGUAACCUGAGGGGAGUGAGGUGACUGCUUCUGAGGAGAACAUGAGCAGUGAAGAUUCACCUUAGAGCUAGAACAGAGACGUGCACAUGAUUAUACAGGGGCAGGGGCUCAAGUUUUUUCCAGUUGUUUAUACAAUAUGGAAAUUAAUGUGAAAUUAAAAAACAAAGUAUUAAUAGAAAGGUAAUGACUGUCCUGAGUAGGUGACAGUGAUAUCCAAUAGGCUAGGCACUCACGAGGCUGGCUGUGGCAAGUGUAAGUGAAAGCAACACGCACUGGCAGGAAGAACAGCAAACGCCGAUGAAGGAAAAGGGUCUUUGCAGUGAUGGGCGUUACCAGAGAGGGCGAUGGCCAGAGGACACAAAUGGGACGGGGAGGCAGCGCGUUGGGGUGGGGGGGGGGGGCGCGACACAGCUCGGGCCCGCCAGUGCCCCAACGGGGUCCUAGUUCUUCUUUUUCCUCCCCUUUGAACUGGAAAAUGGCCCACUUCCCACUGGCGAAAACUCAUGAAAUUUGGCAGGAUGACCGGGCCUGGUGAAAAAUUUGAUAUUCCGAAGUCGCCCAUACAAGAAAAUGCAAAAUGGCUCCAUAGCGCCCCCUAAGGUGAAAAUUCACACUAUUGACUGUCACGCCUUUACGCUUUGUCAAAAUGACACAAAAAUUGACACACAUAUGUAUCUCAAUAAGAUCUACAAAAAAGUCAGUGCGGGCGUAUCUGUCAAAUGUACGGUUAAAGGGUUAUUCCGCAUUUUUUGCCGAUCCGCACACAUUGGAAUUUCGCUAACUCCUCCGAAGGCUUUCUUUCCACCGGCACCACAUUUGCUCAGGCCAAUCUACACCCCAUGGCCAUUAAAAUUUAUUCAAAUCAUGACGCUGCACCCCACGGUUUAGGUUCUAGGGGGCGCCAAAGAUAACCCUAAAAUCCACAUAUUUAAAAGUCUUAUAACUUUUUAUUUUUGCCCUCACUGGCCUCCAAGUUUUCUAGGAUGAUGCAAUGUCCAGCCAUCAACACAUUUGUGAAGGAAUUUUUACUCCCCAAAAGAGCGCCCCCCCAUGGCCGGAGAAAAAAGUCCAUUUUUUCUUGUCCCCUAAGGUGAAAAUACACAUUGUUGAGUGUCACGCCUGUACGCUUUGUCAUAUUGACACAAAAUUUGACACACACAUGUAUCUCAAUAAGAUCUACGAAAAAGUCACUGCGCGCGUAUCUGUCAAAUGUACGGUUAAAGGGUUAUUCCGCAUUUUUUGCUGAUCCGCACACAUUGGAAUUUCGCUAACUCCUCCUAAGGCUGGCAUUCCACCGGCACCACAUUUGCUCAGGCCAAUCUACACCCCAUGGCCAUAGAAAGUUAUUCAAAUCAUGACGCUGCACCCCACGGUUUACGUUCUAGGGGGCGCCAAAGAUAACCCAAAAAUCCACAGUCUUAAAAGUCUUAUAACUUUUUAUUUUUGUCCUCACUGGCCUCCAAGUUUUCUAGGAUGAUGCAAUGUCCAGCCAUCAACACAUUUGUGAAGGAAUUUUUACUCCCCAAAAGAGCGCCCCCCCAUGGCAGGAGAAAAAAGUCCAUUUUUUCUUGUCCCGUAAGGUGAAAAUUCACAUUGUUGAGUGUGACACCUGUACGCUUUGUCAUAUUGACACAAAAUUUGACAAUCACGUGUAUCUCAAUAAGAUCUACGAAAAAGUCAAUGGGUGCGUAUCUGUCAAAUGUACGGUUAAAGGGCUAUUUUGCAUUUUUUGCCGAUUCGCACACAUUGGAAUGUGGCUAACUCCUCCUAAGGCUUUCGUCCCACUGAAACCAAAUUUGCUCAGGCCAAUCUACACCCCAUGGCCAUUCAAAGUUGUAAAAAUCAUGACGCUGCACCCCACGGUUUACGUUCUAGGGGGCGCCAAAGAUGACCAAAAAAUCCACAUUCUUAAAAGAAUCCACAUUCUCCCCCCCCAUGGCAGGAGAAAAAGUCAAGUUUUUCCUGCCCAUCGCUCAAUGGCUCAAUCGCAUCGCUCCCCAGGCAACACCGUAACGAGGAGCAACCCGCCAUUUGGAUAUAUCCAAGCUGUGUUUGUGCCCUCACUCAUGGUCCAGACUUUUUUCAAAUAGGACAUGAAGUUUGUCUGCAGCGAGUGUUUUGGUAGAAACUGCGCCUCCCAUUCAUUAUAAUGGGAAAUGACCACAGACAAGUGCGCACACCAUCUUUGGACCUUGAGUGUGACGCGAUCGGGAGGGGGAGGCGGUCACGCUGGGGGCGGCACGACGCGGCUCGGGCCCGACAGUGCCCCACCGGGGCCCUAGUUCUUUCUUUCUUUCUUAGGGCCCGAGCCAGCUGCAGAGCAGCCGGGCGUAGGCCCUAUUAUUCCCCAAGUGGUUUUUCUUUGUUUCUUUCUUUAGGGCCCGAGCCAGCUGCAGAGCAGCCGGGCGUAGGCCCUAUUAUUCCCCAAGUGGUUUUUCUUUGUUUCUUUCUUUCUUUUUUCUUUUUCCUCCCCUUUGAACUGGAAAAUGGCCCACUUCCCACUGGCGAAAACUCAUGAAAUUUGGCAGGACGACCGGGCCUGGUGAAAAAUUUGAUAUUCCGAAGUCGCCCAAACAAGAAAAUGCAAAAUGGCUCCAUAGCGCCCCCUAAGGUGAAAAUUCACACUAUUGACUGUCACGCCUGUACGCUUUGUCAAAAUGACACAAAAAUUGACACACACAUGUAUCUCAAUAAGAUCUACAAAAAAGUCAGUGCGGGCGUAUCUGUCAAAUGUACGGUUAAAGGGUUAUUUCGCAUUUUUUGCCGAUCCGCACACAUUGGAAUUUCGCUAACUCCUCCGAAGGCUUUCGUUCCACCGGCACCACAUUUGCUCAGGCCAAUCUACACCCCAUGGCCAUUAAAAGUUAUUCAAAUCAUGACGCUGCACCCCACGGUUUAGGUUCUAGGGGGCGCCAAAGAUAACCCUAAAAUCCACAUAUUUAAAAGUCUUAUAACUUUUUAUUUUUGCCCUCACUGGCCUCCAAGUUUUCUAGGAUGAUGCAAUGUCCAGCCAUCAACACAUUUGUGAAGGAAUUUUUACUCCCCAAAAGAGCGCCCCCCCAUGGCAGGAGAAAAAAGUCCAUUUUUUCUUGUCCCGUAAGGUGAAAAUUCACAUUGUUGAGUGUGACACCUGUACGCUUUGUCAUAUUGACACAAAAUUUGACAAUCACGUGUAUCUCAAUAAGAUCUACGAAAAAGUCAAUGGGUGCGUAUCUGUCAAAUGUACGGUUAAAGGGCUAUUUUGCAUUUUUUGCCGAUUCGCACACAUUGGAAUGUGGCUAACUCCUCCUAAGGCUUUCGUCCCACUGAAACCAAAUUUGCUCAGGCCAAUCUACACCCCAUGGCCAUUCAAAGUUGUAAAAAUCAUGACGCUGCACCCCACGGUUUACGUUCUAGGGGGCGCCAAAGAUGACCAAAAAAUCCACAUUCUUAAAAGAAUCCACAUUCUCCCCCCCCCCAUGGCAGGAGAAAAAGUCAAGUUUUUCCUGCCCAUCGCUCAAUGGCUCAAUCGCAUCGCUCCCCAGGCAACACCGUAACGAGGAGCAACCCGCCAUUUGGAUAUAUCCCAGCUGUGUUUGUGCCCUCACUCAUGGUCCAGACUUUUUUCAAAUAGGACAUGAAGUUUGUCUGCAGCGAGUGUUUUGGUAGAAACUGCGCCUCCCAUUCAUUAUAAUGGGAAAUGACCACAGACAAGUGCGCACACCAUCUUUGGACCUUGAGUGUGACGCGAUCGGGAGGGGGAGGCAGUCACGCUGGGGGCGGCACGACGCGGCUCGGGCCCGACAGUGCCCCACCGGGGCCCUAGUUAUUUUUCCUCCCCUUUGAACUGGAAAAUGGCCCACUUCCCACUGGCGAAAACUCAUGACAUUUGGCAGGACGACCGGGCCUGGUGAAAAAUUUGAUAUUCCGAAGUCGCCCAAACAAGAAAAUGCAAAAUGGCUCCAAAGCGCCCCCUAAGGUGAAAAAUUCACCCUGACGCCUGUACGCUUUGUCAAAAUGACACAAAAAUUGACACACACAUGUAUCUCAAUAAGAUCUACAAAAAAGUCAGUGCGGGCGUAUCUGUCAAAUGUACGGUUAAAGGGUUAUUGCGCAUUUUUUGCCGAUCCGCACACAUUGGAAUUUCGCUAACUCCUCCGAAGGCUUUCUUUCCACCGGCACCACAUUUGCUCAGGCCAAUCUACACCCCAUGGCCAUUAAAAUUUAUUCAAAUCAUGACGCUGCACCCCACGGUUUAGGUUCUAGGGGGCGCCAAAGAUAACACUAAAAUCCACAUAUUUAAAAGUAUUAUAACUUUUUAUUUUUGUCCUCACUGGCCUCCAAGUUUUCUAGGAUGAUGCAAUGUCCAGCCAUCAACACAUUUGUGAAGGAAUUUUUACUCCCCAAAAGAGCGCCCCCCCCAUGGCAGGAGAAAAAAUCAAUUUUUUCUUGUCCCCUAAGGUGAAAAUACACAUUGUUGAGUGUCACGCCUGUACGCUUUGUCAAAAUGACACAAAAAUUGACACACACAUGUAUCUCAAUAAGAUCUACAAAAAAGUCAAUGGGCGCGUAUCUGUCAAAUGUACGUUUAAAGGGUUCUUCCGCAUUUUUUGCCGAUUCGCACACAUUGGAAUUUCGCUAACUCCUCCGAAGGCUUUCGUUCCACCGGCACCACAUUUGCUCAGGCCAAAUUACACCCCAUGGCCAUUAAAAGUUAUUCAAAUCAUGACGCUGCACCCCACGGUUUACGUUCUAGGGGGCGCCAAAGAUAACCCAAAAAUCCAAAUUUUUAAAAGUCUUAUAACUUUUUAUUUUUGUCCUCACUGGCCUCCAAGUUUUCUAGGAUGAUGCAAUGUCCAGCCAUCAACACAUUUGUGAAGGAAUUUUUACUCCCUAAAAGAGCGCCCCCCCAUGGCAGGAGAAAAAAGUCCAUUUUUUCUUGUCCCCUAAGGUGAAAAUACACAUUGUUGAGUGUAACACCUGUACGCUUUGGCAAAAUGACACAAAAAUUGACACACACAUGUAUCUCAAUAAGAUCUACAAAAAAGUCAAUGCGCGCGUAUCUGUCAAAUGUACGGUUAAAG